RNAcentral lists this ribosomal RNA (502 nucleotides) under uncultured bacterium. RNAcentral describes it as "bacterial SSU rRNA". It matches the Rfam family "Bacterial small subunit ribosomal RNA", at positions 28 to 526 of the family's 1533-position model. The record is from RNAcentral.
GAUGAACGCUGGCGGCAUGCCUAAUACAUGCAAGUCGUACGGAUACUUUCAAGUAUCAGUGGCGAACGGGUGAGUAACACGUGGACAACCUGCCUGUGUCCGGGGGAUACUCUUUGGAAACGAAGUUUAAUACCCCAUAUUUCCUCGAUUGGCAUCUUUCCUGGAUAAAAGAGGCUUUUGGCCUUAGACACAGAUGGGUCCGCGGUGCAUUAGUUUGUUGGUGAGGUAACGGCUCACCAAGACUUCGAUGCAUAGCCGGCCUGAGAGGGCGAUCGGCCACACUGGGACUGAGACACGGCCCAGACUCCUGCGGGAGGCAGCAGUAGGGAAUUUUCGUCAAUGGGCGCAAGCCUGAACGAGCAAUGCCGCGUGAGCGAUGAAGGUCUUCGGAUCGUAAAGCUCUGUUGCGAGGGAAAAACAGUCAGUUUAGGAAAUGAUUCUGACUUGAUGGUGCCUCGCCAGAAAGUCACGGCUAACUACGUGCCAGCCGCCGCCGUAAUAC